UGCUUAUCAAGAGAGACUGAGGGAACAGGCCCUGUGAAGUCCGGCAACCUCCUUAAAUGGAACGGUGCUAAAUCCUGCAGAAUGAUUGUUCAUUCUGGAAGAUAAGUC
This 108-nucleotide non-coding RNA is filed under the name Bacillus sp. (in: firmicutes). RNAcentral describes it as "Bacillus sp. SAM-I sequence". It matches the Rfam family "SAM riboswitch aptamer (S box leader)". Rfam says of the family: The SAM riboswitch is found upstream of a number of genes which code for proteins involved in methionine or cysteine biosynthesis in Gram-positive bacteria. The SAM riboswitch acts at the level of transcription termination control. The predicted structure consists of a complex stem-loop region followed by a single stem loop terminator region. The record is from RNAcentral. Lineage: Bacteria; Bacillati; Bacillota; Bacilli; Caryophanales; Bacillaceae.